This 253-nucleotide ribosomal RNA is filed under the name uncultured bacterium. RNAcentral's name for it is "partial 16S ribosomal RNA". It matches the Rfam family "Bacterial small subunit ribosomal RNA", at positions 524 to 776 of the family's 1533-position model. The record is from RNAcentral.
UACGAAGGGGGCUAGCGUUGUUCGGAAUUACUGGGCGUAAAGCGCGCGCAGGCGGUUUUUCAAGUCAGUGGUGAAAGCCCGGAGCUCAACUCCGGAACUGCCAUUGAAACUGUAGAACUUGAGGACGAGAGAGGUGAGUGGAAUUCCCAGUGUAGAGGUGAAAUUCGUAGAUAUUGGGAAGAACACCGGUGGCGAAGGCGGCUCACUGGCUCGUUUCUGACGCUCAGGCGCGACAGCGUGGGGAUCAAACAGG